This 497-nucleotide ribosomal RNA is filed under the name uncultured bacterium. Its description in RNAcentral is "partial 16S ribosomal RNA". It matches the Rfam family "Bacterial small subunit ribosomal RNA", at positions 28 to 507 of the family's 1533-position model. The record is from RNAcentral.
GAUGAACGCUGGCGGCGUGCCUAAUACAUGCAAGUCGAGCGAACGGACGAGAAGCUUGCUUCUCUGAUGUUAGCGGCGGACGGGUGAGUAACACGUGGAUAACCUACCUAUAAGACUGGGAUAACUUCGGGAAACCGGAGCUAAUCCCGGAUAAUAUUUUGAACCGCAGGGUUCAAAAGUGAAAGACGGUCUUGCUGUCACUAAUAGAUGAAUCCGCGCUGCAUUAGCUAGUUGGUAAGGUAACGGCUUACCAAGGCAACGAUGCAUAGCCGACCUGAGAGGGUGAUCGGCCACACUGGAACUGAGACACGGUCCAGACUCCUACGGGAGGCAGCAGUAGGGAAUCUUCCGCAAUGGGCGAAAGCCUGACGGAGCAACGCCGCGUGAGUGAUGAAGGUCUUCGGAUCGUAAAACUCUGUUAUUAGGGAAGAACAUAUGUGUAAGUAACUGUGCACAUCUUGACGGUACCUAAUCAGAAAGCCACGGCUAACUACGUG